AGGAUAAACGCUGGCGGCGUGCAUGAGACAUGCAAGUCAAACGGGCGAGCUUGCUCGCUAGUGGCGGACGGCUGAGUAACGCGUAGGUGACCUGCCCCGAAGUGGGGAAUAACUGCCCGAAAGGGUGGCUAAUACCGCAUGUGGUGGUUCGUUCAUUCGAGCUUCCAAAGCAGCGAUGCGCUUCGGGAGGGGCCUGCGUCCGAUUAGCUCGUUGGUGGGGUAACGGCUCACCAAGGCGACGAUCGGUAGGUGGUCUGAGAGGACGAUCACCCAGACUGGGACUGAGACACGGCCCAGACUCCUACGGGAGGCAGCAGUCGGGAAUUUUGCGCAAUGGACGAAAGUCUGACGCAGCAACGCCGCGUGAGGGAUGAAGGCCUUCGGGUUGUAAACCUCUUUUCUCAGGGACGAUAGUGACGGUACCUGAGGAAUAAGUCACGGCUAACUACGCGCCAGCAGCCGC
This 463-nucleotide ribosomal RNA is filed under the name uncultured bacterium. RNAcentral describes it as "SSU rRNA". It matches the Rfam family "Bacterial small subunit ribosomal RNA", at positions 26 to 518 of the family's 1533-position model. The record is from RNAcentral.